This 62-nucleotide transfer RNA is filed under the name Scolytinae sp. BMNH 1274299. RNAcentral describes it as "tRNA-Glu". Lineage: Eukaryota; Metazoa; Arthropoda; Insecta; Coleoptera; Curculionidae. The record is from RNAcentral.
AUUUAUAUAGUUUAAAUAAAACAUAACACUUUCAUUGUUAAAAUGGGAUUCCCCUUUAAAUA